GUCUAUGGACACAGACCCUUUCAAGGCCUCUUCCUUCACUUUCCUUCUGCUUAUUUCCUUAUUGGAGCCGAAGGGAGUUGGAGCACAGGUUCUGUGGGGAAAAGUGGGGGACACUCUGAUGCCAGUUUCAGGGAUCUCAGUUUCCUCUCCUCCUCAGAGGAACCGUUCUCCUUCUCGCCAGUCUUCCAGCUUCCCUGCCUGUGAAAGACGAAUGCUCAGAUGAUGUGGCCCAGAUGGCGAUAAUCGACAGAGACCUGAGCCGAGUGUCAAGCAGCUGGGACGGCUCAUCUAAAUCGAAGACCACGUCUCGUGAAGGGAAAGUGGUCAAGUGUUCCUAUCCCAGGGAGCUUCUUCAGAGAGGGAAGAGCUCUGGAGUUCCCAUCCAUUACCAGUGCCUUCGAACCAAAGCAGCAUGAGAAGCUUGGUUGAACUGGACAGGUUUUGAGAGAGAGCUGUCGUGUUGACAGGUUACCUCCCACAGCAGACUGGUCCCGGAGGAGAACCCUCACUGGACAGAUGACCUCUGCGCACCUCCCCGCCCAUCCGCCUCCUGCCUACAACUGGUUCCGACUUCCCAUUUCUUCGCUCCAUUAGCUUCCUGUCCAUUUUAGAAUUGAUUCCUCUAAUUACUUUUGAAUCCCAUCUUGGUGUGACCCCCAAGCUACAUCAGCAUAAAGCAGUCGGCUCUUCAGGCGGGUCAUUACCAGUUGCUCAAAAAGUUGCUCUCAAAUUGAAGAGGCAGCCUCCAGCUUCCACAGAGGAGGACAAACGGCAGGUGACAUCUCCCACCUUCUUCACAUCAUCACCCACAUGAACACAGUUGAUGUAGUUGCUUUUCUGGUGAACUUCUCGACACGGUUCUUACUUGGACUUCUUGGCAUAGAUCCAGUAGAUCAGUCCGAUGACCACGCAGGCGACGAGGAGCCCGACCACGACUCCCACCACCAGCUUGGUCUGGUCAUAGUCGCCAGACUGAUCUGUAGCGGAGACAAGAGAGGAAGGUCAGGUGUGUGCGACCGCCCUGGGGUUGGGUCUCACCAGCAGAGCAGGAGCACCACAAAAGCACUGAUGAUGGACACAACGGCAGCGGUCAUGGUCAUGACUCACGAGGCUCAAUGUUUGUUCAUGACUCUUCAGCCAAUGGGAGCAUGGAGAAUGUUUGACAGGAUGCUGGGAGCUCCAUUCCUUCUUCUCCCUCAUGUUACUAAACGUCACCAUUACAGCUGAUAUAAAUCUUUUCUAAAAUAGGUCUAAGAUUUAUAUAAAACAAAUGCAAGUAAAUACAAAAAGAAUCCAUGAAAACAGCGACUGAAAAUCUCAAGCCAAUUCAGGUGAGAGGAAGUAAUGUUGCUUCUGGGCACGUCGAGAUAACAGCAGUGUUCUUUGUUAAGCUCUGGAAAUACAUGUCUUAUUACAAUGUGAAUCAGAAAUGACAUUGUGAAGGUAUUAUAGCGGAAAAUAAUGAACUAGUCUCCUCUACUACGAUGCAGCAGUGGUCACAUGACUUGUGGUUUCCCACUGUAUCAAAUAUGAGCAGCCGUCUCAAUGGCCCACAGACAUCAGCGGCGUCCACAGAAGAAUAGCCAAGCUUUGUUUACAAUGGAAAUCAUUUUGUCAGCUCAAGACUGUCAAAUAAGCAAAACGUUUUCUAAUGCAGUGUUGGCACAAAUAAAUGCACUUUCAUUGUUUAUAGAUCGUUCAGCUGCUAUCACUGGAAGAGAAUAAUAUUAAGAUCCAUAAACAAA
This is a long non-coding RNA of Synchiropus splendidus (mandarinfish), 1745 nucleotides long. RefSeq lists it as uncharacterized. The record is from RefSeq and is a predicted model, not a curated record. NCBI's taxonomy places the organism in Eukaryota, Metazoa, Chordata, Actinopteri, Syngnathiformes, Callionymidae. The transcript has 3 exons.